UCUCAGGCCUGGCCAGUAAACUUCAGAGGCAGAUCUGUUUGUUUACAGCAGCAGCCCAAGUAGGCGUAAACAGACCACCCUGGGAACAGUGUUGGCAGUAGGUACCCUGAGCUACAUGGCCUCUACUCAAAAGGGUCAACAGAAGCCUGCAAAAUAACAGGUCCAUGAUGGCGGAGAAACUGUCAGAUAUUGUGACUUUCUUGAGAGGUCGAGGUGUCCCGGAGGACACGGUCAAUUUCAUUGAAGAG
This is a long non-coding RNA of Notothenia coriiceps (black rockcod), 248 nucleotides long. RefSeq lists it as uncharacterized. The transcript is spliced from 3 exons. The record is from RefSeq and is a predicted model, not a curated record. NCBI's taxonomy places the organism in Eukaryota, Metazoa, Chordata, Actinopteri, Perciformes, Nototheniidae.